UUUUUUUUUAAAGUCAAACACUAGGUUGAACAAGUUACGUGUAGAACUGAAAGAUUGACUAGGUGAUACCAAGUUAACUCUUUUCCAUUUUAAUUUUAAAUUAGGCCAUUGCAAGUGGCCUAAUCAACGGGUCACUAGGUUAUGCCAUCAAACCAAUCUAGAAUUAAAAAUACCAUCAAAAAGUUAUUGUGGUAAUGCGUUGGUAACUAACUAGUUUUAAACUAAGAAUGAUAUGACAAACCAAACAAAGUUAUUCUGUAUUUUUAAGAAGCUACUUUUUAUGAUUAAAAUUACAAAAUAUAUUAAAACAACUAGGUAAAUCACUAUAAUAAUUCACAAGACAACAAAGCUUUUUUUUAAUCUCAUCCUCAAAUUUUUUUUUUUAAUUGCAGUAGUUUUUGCCUAAAUUAACUACCAAUUUCUUAAAAUUUGUCAAGGAGAGAAAACAAAUCAACAAAAGAUAACCAAAAUAUAAAAUAAGGAGAAAACCCAUCUCCAAUCUCGAAUUCGCUAGAAAAAUUUCUAUAUAAUCCACCUGUUCUUCUUUUUCUUUAUAUAAUGUUCCUUUAGUUUAUGUAAUUUUAAUUUUGAUCCAAGGGUUUAUUUUGUUAAUAUUUCAGUCACUGAAUUUGUGAGAGAAAAGAGAAAGUUAUCAGUUUGUAACAAUGUAGUAACAAAAAAUGAUUAAUUUUAGUAUUAACGGGUUCUAUUUAACGAAAAGAGUUUAAUGGCAAUGAUUUUUAUUUCUAUAAACAUGUAUACAAUAGUAGAUUAAGUUCCAUUUAUAUUUUUUUUAUUUUGUUGAUUUUCAAUUUCUUUUCGUGUUAUUUUGGGAUGUUUUGGUGUUGGUAAAUAGUUUUUUUUUUUUUUUGAAGAUUUGUAUGGUAUUCUUGAAGAUAUUUUAAGAUAAGACUUUGAUUAUUGGGGUCAAAACGAGUCGGCAACCUAAAACUUUGAUUUACAUCCAAAAAUAGUUUUGGUCAAACAACAACGAAACAUGGAAGGGGUUGCUCUGCGUUGUGCAUGACAGCUAGAAGCCCAGAGUUCAAACAAACUAAUUAUCAGGGAAUAUUGAUGAAGUCCUCCUUCAUUAUCAGCAACCUAAAAAGGAGUGGCAGCGCUGGCUAGUUUUUCAACGGCCACCGAAAAACAAUCUAUUGAAAAAUUCUUUACCGAACAUUGGAUUUAUAUAGAAAGGUGCCUUUAAAAAAGUAGGUCACCAAGAAGCCCCUCCAUUGCCCAAUACACAGUAGUGGUUGCCUUCGAAAAGAAUUCUUCGCCUGAGAUAAGUUUUUCUUAUUUGGUCAAACGUAGUUUUCAGGCUCCGAUAUAGCAACCCAAUAAAGUAUACAGAAAAUACACUCACAUAGUAGCUUUCAGGCUUUGACUCCCUAAAAAGGUUUUUAUUAGCUAACCAAGAAACUUUAAAAGGGGUGAGGAAAUUACUUUUCCUCGCACGAUGGUUUUUUUUUUUUUUAAUGGCCAUCUAAGAUGUUUUCUCAUCGAUUCAGUACUUUAAUCGCUAAAUUGAUAGCAAAUUAGGUUUGAUUUAUUGAACAAGGACAGAAUUAAAAGAUGAAGGAUUAAAGUGUAAAAGGCUGAAAAAUCUGGUAGAGAGAAAAAGACUUAAUUGACAUUUAUUUAAACCACAAAAAACUUUGAUCUUGGUAUUAAUGAGUUUCAUUCAAUGAGAAGAGUUUUAGGUGUUUUUUAGCCUUCUCAUCAUCUGAAAUGGCAAUUUUGAUAUCAUAAAGUUUUUUAGUAUAGGGUUGAUUUUGAGUUUAUAGACCGCUUUUUAGGUUAUUGGUGGUCAUAUAAGGAUUUAUUGAGGUGUAUCAGGUGUUUUAUAUGUGUUUUUGAUCAAAAAUAGAUUGAGAGAAAUUAGUUUUAUAGGUCUAAAAAACACAAUUAUACUGAAAUUUGAGCUGAAGUAGGCGACGUGUCACCUACCUUUAUUUUUUAUCAAGAAACUCUAAGGUGAACAAUGUAUCAUCCACCCCAUUACCAAAUAAAAAAAAUUAAGGGCUAGCACGUGGGUUUGGUUUGCCAGAACCAACAGUGUCUGACCUUUUUUUUUUCUUUUUAAUUUUAAUUUUUUAAUUGAUAUUUUUUAUAUGUAUUCUCUAUGAUUUUUUAGAUUAUUUAUUUAGUAUUUUUUAAAUAGUAAUUGUUUAAAAAAAAUAUUUUGUACAUAUUUUACGUUUCAAAGAGAUAUUUCUAAUUUAUCCAUAAAUCUUUUUUAUAUUUUAUAUAAAUAAAUUUUAUUUUCAUGAUGUGUUUAUAAAAUUAAAAAUUAUUUUUUCUUAGAUAGGAAAAGGUAACCUUUAAGAUAAUAAUAAUAAAAAAAACUUGUGCAUUAUAGCUAAAAGUUGAGGUUAAAUAUUAUACUGAUCUUUCUUUUACUUUUAUAAAAAAAGAUAAUCUUUUCAUUUUAGAAUUUUAUUUGCAUUAGUAGCUCUUUUCCACUUUAUUAAUUCAUAUAUUUUAUGAUUUAUUUAGUUUAGCAUAAACAAUCUCUUUACAUUUCUCAAUUAAAAGAAUUAUGAUAUAGUGAAAAAUAAUUGCAAUAUUAUCCUAUUUUUUCACUAUGUUAAAAAUUAACUUAAGAUCCUACAUGCGGUGUUGCUUUAACAAUUGUUUUUAUUUAUUAAUGCAUAUAAUUCUCACUUUAUUUUAUUAUGUGUCGUACCCAACAUCACGACAACCUUUAAAAUUCAAAAUUAAAAACAAGUUUCUGACAUCUUAUUCUUCAAUAAGAAAUGUGUAGUUUAGUGAGUUAUUAUCUAGUAUUAUGGUCACUAGUAACCCCAACUGGUCAACAAAAAUUCAAUGAGUCGCCUUCUAGUAAAAUAUAUUGUAAAUUGAAUUUACCUUUUACAGUUAAAAUCUACAUAUCAAUUAUAUAGUGAAAUACUUAAAUAAAAACAUGGGAACCUAUAAAUAAAUUUAAGAGGGUCCUUAGAUUUUUCUGAUAUUAAAAAAAAACUCGUUUGGUCUAAUAUAAAAAAAAUAAAAAUAAAAACAAUGGGCCAAAGGCCCAGCCCAACUACUGUUUUUUUUUUUUUGGACUAGACACAGCAGGCCCGGGUAAUUAGGACCCGGCUGGGCCAAGCAGGAGACACGCGUUAACCAAAUCACGCGUGCAUGAACAGUGGAAGAGUAAUUAAAAUUCAAGGUGCACACUGCACAGUGAGUGAACUGAAAUUGUAAAGCUGGGGAAGACGAAAAGCACUUACCUGUGCUGCUGCUACUGAAGAUGAAGACGAAGUUGCGGGCGAUCGACUGCUGCUAAUUUCUCUUCCAUUUCCUUGGUUUCUUCUGUGAUCUUCCUUCUUUUUUUUGUUCUUUUUGUCUUCGUAUUCUAUUUGUUCCUUAUCUUUCUGUAUUUUUCUCUGUAUCUCCCUCUUCUGUCUCUGUUUUUUGGUCUUUCUUCUGUGUCUCUCGUGUCUAUGUUCUCUCUGUUCUGUCCCUGUAUUGUUCGUUCUUGUUCUCUCUGUGUGUUGAUUUCCUGGGUUUCCCUCUCUCUCUCUCUACUGUUUUUUUUCUUCCUCUUCUCUGCUUCUCUGGUUUGUUCCCCCCCAGUUCUCUCCCUUCUUGUGGCUUUUCUCUGGCUUAUAUAAAGCCAGAGAAUGCCAUGCGUUGGUAAAGCAAACGAAACGGACUCACAUGACAGUUACAGUGAUAAUGGAGACGCAUCGUGGGGCGCCGGCGGGGCGUCCCUUUUUUUCCCUGUCGGGUAAGAAGAAGAAGAUGAAUAAUCUUCUUUGAAACGGCGUCGUUUUGGGAUGAGAGUGAUCAUUUUCAGUUUGGUCACUGAGUAUUUGACGUUUGGUAAUUAAACCCCUUAAUCAGGAAAUUCCCUCUUCUUUUUGUUUUUAAUUUCGCCCCUAGGUAAUUUGCAAUUGGACCCCUGGAUUAUAGCCUUAUUCACAAAACAGUCAUUGGUUUCUGAAUUAUUCAAUUCAUUCUUUAAUUGACUCUUCAACUUUUAAUGUUUUCACAAUAUGUAAGAAUCGAGUUUUAGAUUUAUAGAUCUAUUUUUUUUCUUAAUUUCUAAAAACACAUUACCAACACAUACAUAUUCAUUUUUUUGUGUAGAAAAAAAUAUUCAGCCUGUAGCGAAGCAAGUUAAAUAUACACGUUAAUACUUUUUGAAAAACAAUUCCUGACAUAUAUAAUUUUUAUCUUAUUUUAUUAAAUGCAGGCAUAAAGUUUUUCUAUUUAUGAUGAGAAAUUGUUUUUGUAAAAAAAAAACAUGGUAUAAAGAUACACAUAUACCUAUUUUUGCUCAAAAACAUUAUCCGACAUUCAUUGAAUUAUUGCAUCUAGUUAAAUAACUAGUAUUUAUGAGUUGGCAAACUCUUAUAAAAAAAUAUCCAAUGUAAUUUUUGUUUAUAUAUAUACUAGUUAGUGUGUGUGUGUGUGUGAGUUUAUAUAUAUAUAUAUAUAUAUAUAUAUAUAUAGAGAUUUGGACACUUAUUAUAUGAGAUUGACGUAAAAUUAACAUCAUAAAUUAUUCCAUAAUAAGACUUGUUGCCAAUAUCUUUGGUUUUGGUUCCUUCUUCUAUAACCCCAAAUCAAAAAAAGAAGAGAUAAGAAAGUAUUUUGGAGAAAGUGGUUAAAAAUCUAUAAUGGAGUGCGAGCACAACGAUCAAAUUAGUUAUCUUUAUGCAUAGAGAUAUGGAAUUAUCUAGUAUAAAAGAUUUUAAACAAAAAAUAUUAAGGUCCAAGCUAGUUAUACAUUAGCUGCAUUUCAAUCACAGGACUAUUAGCUGCUGUACCUUUAUCGAUUAUAGAGUGGCAAUGUCGAUGGCCAUAAAAGAAGAGAUAGAAUUAUUCCAUCCUUUGCUUAAUUUUUCCUCAUCCUCAUCAAUUUUGCUCCCAUAUUCUUCGAAUGCUGAUUUUUCAGUCUCCCCUUUCACUCUCUGUACUUGUUUAUGUCACUAGAAAUCAAAUCUGCAGAUAUGUUCAUAUGAAUUCUUUCUCCAAUUUGUCAUCGUUCUUGAUUUCUGGAACAGAUCUCUUCAAAUAAUCCUAUAAAUAAAUAUUUAAUUUUACUAUUUUCCUUUUUUUGAAUUCAAAUUGCAAGUUUGUUCAUUCUUUAUUUAACAUAAUGGCCGUAAGCCUUCAACUCUCAUCAUGUUUCUAUACCAGUUUCUUGCUGUUGCAUGUCUCUAUCACUUUCUUUUAGCACCAUGUUUCAUGCAACAUCAAUGAACUCCGUUUGUCAUUAGGAGCAUUAGACCGAGAGAAAAUUGUGUGAGCUAAGCAUAUGACAAAUUAAUAGUGAGCCUUACGAAGGGAUUCAUGACUAAGAAGUAGAUUAUGAAGUCUGGAAAGAGAAACUAGCUUAGGGAAUUAUCAACGCUAGUCCCACUAACAGUGAGCUGCCGAAACUCAUCCUUACGAAGGGAUUCAUGACUAAGAAGUAGAUUAUGAAGUCUGGAAAGAGAAACUAGCUUAGGGCGAGUAGUUAAUGUUGAGACAAGAUCUUUAAAAAUUUGAAACGUAAUCCUUUCAAUAAAUAUAAAUUGAAAUCUGUUGGAUCGAACGACUUUCCAACAGUAGUGAGUUUGUCACCGUAUUUUUGAACUCAUUGUAAACACGUUUUCAUGGUUUCAUCAGGAUGUUGACGCAGUUCUAACAAGGUAGAGUGAAGAGCCAUUAUUUGCGUUUUCGAUGGAGAUGCCAAUGCUGCAGCAAGAGCGCGCACCAUAUGUCCCGAGAGGUUUUGCAAUCAAACACCGAAGACAGCACAUCUGUCGAUAAGGACAUGAUCAAUGUGCUCAAAAUAAGUUAAUCUUGUGGCACCAAGAGUCCCUAUCCUUUCAGAAAAGAUAAUCGGUGUUGGUGAUUUUCAAGCAGAUGUGAUGAUAUGCUGUUUAUAAACCCUAGAUAAUAGCAACUGUUAUGGCCGGCGGCAGCACCUCUGAAGUGCUUUGAGAAGAUGCCACUAACAUACUUUGAGCAGCUGCUGUUUUUUUCCCGAAAAGUCACAGUACACUUAUGUUAGAGGCGUCCUAUAAAGAAGAAUGCAAGAAAACAGAAACAAAAUUGAAAAGUUGCAUGCGGAUAUAUUCUCCACUGGAGCUGCUGUAAUGCUACUAGUUUACGCUAUAAUAAUUGGGCCUGUACAUAGUCAGCUAAGAUGGGCGUUUUUGCUCAAUCGUUCGUUUAAAGACUGGUUGUCAACUGGUCUGGAUCUUUUUAUCAUGUGUCUGUGUUUAAGGAAUAUUUUCUUACAUCCAGUCUCUUAGUUGAUUUGUCUAACGGGUAACAUUGAAGGAGGAUUCUAUACAUUUGUAGCCGUUGGCUUUGCUACUUGCAACAAAUUUCAAUUACUAAUGGAGGCAUUGAUGAUUGUUGUCCUGUACUUGUAUUUCCACAUUCAUGGGAAAUUCUCAGGAAUGAAGGAGUUGAUGAUGAACCACAAAACAUGGUCUCGUCAAGCGGAGAAGCGUAAAAGCAAGGCAGAAUAUGUGCUCCAAUUAUCAAACAAAGCAGCACAAGAUGCUGCUUAUUUUAUUACAUACCAAACCAUUAAUAUAAAAUUCAUCAACCUACUUGGAACCAACAAGAACAUCCCACAAGGCAUCUCUGCUCCAAAUCAAAGAUCAAAUGCAUCCAUGCGGUGAGUUCGCAUUGGUUUGAUCCAAGUGGAACAUUUCCAUACCUACACCCCCAUUAGCAUAACAAUCCUUUAUUAAACCACUAGCUAGACGUGCAAGAUUCAACCUACACACAAGAACCCACUAGAUAGACUUCCACUGGAACCAUGCAGCAUUCUCCCGUGAUGACCUCAUUACUCAGUCUUUUCUACUGGGGUUUCUGUUUCAACCUUCUCCUCUGUUUCAACAGGCUUCUGUUCUUCCUUUACUUCUUCUUCCUUUGGGGCUUCGACUGCAACCUCCGUUUCUUCUGCCGGUGCCUCACCAGGCUCUGUAGUCUCUUUAGCCUCCUCGACAACAGGCUCUACGGGUACUUCCGGCUCCUCUUUUGUCUCCUCAGCAACCGGCUCUGGUGUUUCCUUAGGUGUCUCCUCCUCAGUUUUCUCUAGUACUGUUGGCUCUUCUGCAGCGAUCUUGUUCUCUUCGAGCACCUCUUUAGUUUCAGCUUCAGCUGGGGCCUCGGGCUCUGGUGCCACGGGCUCCUCAGAUGCUGCAACUUUCUCUGCUUCUUUUGGCUCUUCAUGAGUUACUGCCUCUGGUGCUGCAGUGACCGCUUCUUCUGUG
This 7232-nucleotide long non-coding RNA is filed under the name Populus trichocarpa (black cottonwood). RNAcentral describes it as "long non-coding RNA (PTRI_LNC000748)". Lineage: Eukaryota; Viridiplantae; Streptophyta; Magnoliopsida; Malpighiales; Salicaceae. The record is from RNAcentral.